UGGGGAAUUUUGGGCAAUGGGCGCAAGCCUGAUCCAGCCAUGCCGCGUGUGGGAAGAAGGCCUUCGGGUUGUAAACCACUUUUGUCAGGGAAGAAACGGCUCUUACUAAUAUUAGGAGCUAAUGACGGUACCUGAAGAAUAAGCACCGGCUAACUACGUGCCAGCAGCCGCGGUAAUACGUAGGGUGCAAGCGUUAAUCGGAAUUACUGGGCGUAAAGCGUGCGCAGGCGGCUUUGCAAGACAGAUGUGAAAUCCCCGGGCUCAACCUGGGAACUGCAUUUGUGACUGCAAGGCUAGAGUACGGUAGAGGGGGAUGGAAUUCCGCGUGUAGCAGUGAAAUGCGUAGAUAUGCGGAGGAACACCGAUGGCGAAGGCAAUCCCCUGGACCUGUACUGACGCUCAUGCACGAAAGCGUGGGGAGCAAACAGGAUUAGAUACCCGUGUAGUCCCUGAGCGGGCUGGCAAGGCGCAU
Molecule: ribosomal RNA, 472 nt
Filed under: uncultured bacterium
Lineage: Bacteria
Description: bacterial SSU rRNA
Rfam family: Bacterial small subunit ribosomal RNA
Source: RNAcentral